UUUCUGUUUUUUUUUUUUUUUUUUUUUUUUUUUUUUGUUGUUCUUUUUUUUAUGUGUUUUAGUUUUU
Molecule: non-coding RNA, 67 nt
Filed under: uncultured Pelagophyceae
Lineage: Eukaryota; Pelagophyceae
Source: RNAcentral